UGUGACAAACUGGAAGUCGACACUGGAGGUGGCAGACCCCUGUGUGAGGAGGAAAGAUUCAGAGCUCAUGCAGGAUGUGGUCUAACUGGUGGCAUCGCACUGGUAAUUGUCUGAAGAUGACAUGGCCACUUAAUUUAAAAGAAGGAGAAGCAAAAGGGGAAGGAAGACAAAGAAGAGCUACCUCCACCAAAAGAAUAUGCAUUCCGUGACAUGGAGACUACUGCUGUUUUGGAUCUCAGAGCCUGAAACAUGGAAAGUGCUACAAAAAUGGGCAUUUGAUGAAUAUUUGUAAAGCAAAUUAAUGAAUGCAUGAAGAAGUUGCCUGUGUUUGUGAUCUCUAGGAGCUACAUCUCGUUCUCUUUCCUGUAUACAUAAUUUAGAGCCAAUCUAAGUCAGCAUCAAUUCUUUCAAAUAUAUCGAUCAAAUGCCUACCAUAUUUCGGGCAGAGAUACAAUAAUGAAUAAGAUACAUCCGACUGGCAAUACUUUGGACCUAAUG
Long non-coding RNA from Molossus molossus (Pallas's mastiff bat), 498 nucleotides. RefSeq lists it as uncharacterized. The record is from RefSeq and is a predicted model, not a curated record. Lineage: Eukaryota; Metazoa; Chordata; Mammalia; Chiroptera; Molossidae. The transcript is spliced from 3 exons.